UUUCAGGGACUGAGUGCUGGGGUUUUCGGCUGUUUUUUUCUUCGUUUUUGGCUGUGUGCGACGUGUGGAACAGCUGGUUGAAUGCAUAUCAACCAGCUGUUUUCUAUUUUAUUUUUUUGACUCUUUUUUCUUAUUUUUCUCUUUCUUUCUUUUCCUCUCUUUUCUUUUUGUUUUCUUUUCUUCUCUUACCGCCUUCUCUUCUUCUCUUUUCUUUUCUUUUCUUCUUUUUUUCUGCAAUUCUUUUCUUUUUCUGCGAUUUAUGUUCUUCUGUUUCGUUUGAUUCCUUUUCUUCUUUGUAUUUUAUUUUUGUUUUUGUUUUCUUGCUUGUGAUUUUUUCCCUUAUUGAUUUAGGAUUUCUUUACUUUUCUCAGUGCUGUCUCUUCUUCUCCCUUUUUUUUUCCCUGCGAUUCGUGAUUUCUUCCACUGCGUUUGAUUUUUUUUUUUUUCUUUUUCUCGAUUCUCUUUUCUUUGUUUGCGUUUUGGUUUUGUCUCUUUCGUUGAUCGCAAUUUUUUGUUUAUUUGUUUCUUUCUUUUUUUUAUUUUUUUCUUGCGAUUCUAUGAUAUUUGGGUAAAGUGAAGUCGUAUGGUGCUGAGGUAGAAUGAACGAUGGAGUGAUUUUUUUGAUGCUGAUUUGAAAUUUGGAGAGGAAAAGGGAUUGGAAAAGUUUUUAGGAAAAAAAAAAAAAGGACCUGGUAAUAGUUAUUGUUAGGAAGUGAAAUGUUCCUCUGUUUUGAUUUUUUAUUUAAUUUUUUAUGUACUAAAAUGUAAUCACUCAAGAUGUCAAUUUUUUUUUUUUAUUACAUGUGGUCAGUUCUUAUACAUAGCUA
Molecule: long non-coding RNA, 827 nt
Organism: Jatropha curcas
Lineage: Eukaryota; Viridiplantae; Streptophyta; Magnoliopsida; Malpighiales; Euphorbiaceae
Source: RefSeq, a predicted model, not a curated record